GCAUCGACAAUUACACCAACUAGCCUCAACAAAUUUGCGGGGUCAUUUUGUGUACACUUGUGCAAUGUAUCGAAUCCACAACCCUAUUCUUGAACUAAUUGUGUAUACGCAAGUAACAAGUUGCGAAUGCUCGCAACAUAAAAUCUCUAGAGCAGUAUUCUUGACACUCUUUCAGUUUUUGGAUUGACUAAUAUUUUGGAAGAAGAAGAAGAAGAGAGACACUGUGUCAGAGAGACGAAAAGAGAAAGCGGAGAAUAAAAGAUUUAAUUUAUAUAAAAAAUGAAUCUUGAUGAUACAGUACUAAAUGUACUAUAAAUUUAUGCAAUUAUAAAUGCAUUACAAAAUGCAGAAAUAGCAGAAGAAUGAAGAAUUUUUCAUAUCAGGGAUGAUUUAAAUUAUCUAAUGAACAAUUUAUUAUAUUGUUUCGUUUAAGUAAAGCCGCAGUGAUAUCUUAUUGAUCUUAUUGAACAUUUAACUCCUCAAACAAGAAUAUCCUCAAUUGAUCCUACAACUAAGGUUAUUACAGUAUUGCGAUUUUUUGCGAGUGGUUCUUAUCAGAUGGAUAUCGGAAAAAAUAUUUAUAUGGCUGUCAGUUAACCAACAGUUUCCCGUUGUAUUCAUGAAAUAAUAGAUGUAAUAAUAAGAAAAU
Atta colombica is the source of this 649-nucleotide long non-coding RNA. RefSeq lists it as uncharacterized. The transcript has 4 exons. Lineage: Eukaryota; Metazoa; Arthropoda; Insecta; Hymenoptera; Formicidae. The record is from RefSeq and is a predicted model, not a curated record.